AGAGAAAGCACUGCUUAUAGAUGAGAAUAUCAAACAUGUCCCGGUUUGUUCUUGUCCGUCUAUUUACGGUUCUAAUGUCUGACUUGAUGAUUGUCCAGUCUCAUACAAAAUGGACAACGAUGGAGCAUAACUAUACAGGAACCUGUGCCACCAGCUACAUCCCAGAUGUGUGUAUAUCUAAUGAGACCAACGAACAAUUAAUUUCUUGUCUGGAGAGGAAAUACAUGGAAGUUUCAAAAGA
This is a long non-coding RNA of Saccostrea cuccullata (small rock oyster), 241 nucleotides long. RefSeq lists it as uncharacterized. The record is from RefSeq and is a predicted model, not a curated record. NCBI's taxonomy places the organism in Eukaryota, Metazoa, Mollusca, Bivalvia, Ostreida, Ostreidae. The transcript has 3 exons.